Unclassified non-coding RNA from Actinia tenebrosa (Australian red waratah sea anemone), 2006 nucleotides. The record is from RefSeq and is a predicted model, not a curated record. Lineage: Eukaryota; Metazoa; Cnidaria; Anthozoa; Actiniaria; Actiniidae.
CCUAGGAAAGAUCGAUAAAAUAGAGAUGCUAGAAACGUUGGGUUGAACAGGCAUUUUUGCACUAUUGCAAAAAUGCUCGUUCCAGCCGACAGAUUAAUCGAGCGAAAAAAUCGUUCAACAAUGCUGGUAAUGCAAGUGAUGUAGGAGGAAUAUAUUAAAAACCGAUCCGCCCUUACGCCGAAUGAGAGUUAACCUAAAACCAACAGGUUUUGGACUCCAAAAUCACACAGGUCUCGUAAACUGAACAGAACAUUCAUUUCAAGGGCAAAACACUGCGCUGAAAAAGGGCCGCCAUGUUGUCACAAAAAACCUCAAAGCGGAAAUCGUCAUUUGGACCACGUGCUUGCUCACCGCGUCUCAUGAUGUCAUCGUAAGCCUUUGUCGGUGCCAACGCAAUCGAUGCCAACGAACAAUGCAAGAAAUACUAGUUUGAUUAACGAAUUGCACUCGCGUGGUGGAUUCUUUGUCUUUCGUGUUCUAUUCUAAAUAUACCUCUCUUUGCGAUUGGCUAAACACACUCGGAAUAAAAAGAAUCUGUAACGUUAGCAGGAUGUCAUCUUUUACUAUGCAUAUUCAAUCGUUUGCGGAGUUUUUCUCUGGCUUUACUGUUUGAAAUUAGUCCUUCUGCGUGAGCUAUGGCAGAUCAAUUCACCAAAUCAUUUACUGGGACGAAGGUAUCUAAGACAAGUCAUAAACAUUUACUGGAAAGACAUCGAAGAGCAAGAAUAAACAACAGUCUGAAUGAGUUAAAACAUCUUAUUCUUUCUUCUCUCCAUCAUGAUCAUCCUCAGACGUACGAAGAAAAGGCUUCCGAACGAAUGGACAAAGCUGAUGUCUUGGAUUUGACCGUUGAAUUCCUUCAGGACAAUAAACAAGCAGCUGUCAACAAUGGAAUCCGAGCGGAAAGGUUAUCGAGGGAAUAUAAAAAUGAUUCAGCACUAUAUCAUCGUAUGCCAGCACCCCCAUUGUUUGUACCUUACUGUUAUCCCCGAAUGGACGGCGAAUACCUCGUCUUCCCUAGCGCGACCCAUCCAUUGUACAAUGGAUGGAGUAUCCCACCAUAUUUGGAAUCACCACUCGCGUCGUCAGACCCGCCAUCGCCGAUCCAGCUUUCAGCCAAUCAAAUCGAUGGAAAACAACAGCCAAUGAAUGAAUCGGAGAGUAGCGAAUCUAAGUCGACUAAGAAAGAUGUUUGGCGGCCUUGGUGAAUCUAGAGAAUUACUUGCAUGGAUCUUAUUGGUCAAUUUUAUUGGAUCGUACUGAUUGAAGCCAUUGAACAAAGGCUGCAAGUUUAAACUCACGAAUUCUCAAGAGUUUUUACAUUGUUCUCAGCAAAUAUAUAGCAUGGAAUUCCUCUGACGGCAUUACAAGCGUAUCGUACGUUCCUCAACUCAGUAACACUUUAUGAGGUUGAUCUGUUCGUUAAUUAAGCUUGCGCGCACGUCCUUACGAUAAAAUCAACUCUAAUCAGCAUGAAAAACCCAUCUAUUCUAAUGUCUUCUAUUGGCAACACGUUCGACACGCUUUGAUUGGUCAGCGGUAUAGAAUCACGAGAUAUAAUGACCACUCGUUUUCUAAUCUCAUGGGUGCAAUUCAAGUUUGGGAGUUCUCGAUGAAACUGAUUUCCCAUGUUCGAUCGCCUAACAAUAUCCUAAGAAAAUGACCAGAGCUGAAGUCUUCCUAGAAGAACCUGUUCGAACGAGAAGUUGUCAAAUAAAUUAAAACUAAAAUGAAAAAGAGAUUUUUUAAUAAUUGUCCCAUGCAGUCAUUAGUCAAGUCGAGUUUACUGAAGCUUUCAUUAAGCAAUUGCUUGUUAUUAAACAAAAAUAAGGUGGGGAUACUAAGAUUUCAUCGUUUGGUUGUUGCGACACGUACCGUACUCAACUCUCACUGAACCGAAUUUGUAUCGGGAAAUCGCACGAUCUCGAGUACAAUUCGGAAUUUAUAGGUACGAGUCAUCAAAUCAUCACGAGUAUCUAUAAAUUCCGCCGAAUUGUACGAGAAGA